GCCUCGGUAGCUCAGUCGGUAGAGCAGAGGACUGAAAAUCCUCGUGUCGGCGGUUCGAUUCCGUCCUGAGGCACCA
RNAcentral lists this transfer RNA (76 nucleotides) under Desulfitobacterium hafniense. RNAcentral's name for it is "tRNA-Phe". It matches the Rfam family "tRNA". Rfam says of the family: Transfer RNA (tRNA) molecules are approximately 80 nucleotides in length. Their secondary structure includes four short double-helical elements and three loops (D, anti-codon, and T loops). The record is from RNAcentral. Lineage: Bacteria; Bacillati; Bacillota; Clostridia; Eubacteriales; Desulfitobacteriaceae. RNAcentral also lists the same sequence under 49 other names.